This 72-nucleotide transfer RNA is filed under the name Tringa guttifer (Nordmann's greenshank). RNAcentral describes it as "tRNA-Glu". The record is from RNAcentral. Lineage: Eukaryota; Metazoa; Chordata; Aves; Charadriiformes; Scolopacidae.
GUUCCUGUAGUUAAAGUACAAUAACGGUGGUUUUUCAGGCCAUAAAUCCUGGAAAAAGGCCAGGCAGGAACU